CAGCAGCCGCGGUAAAACGGAGGGUGCAAGCGUUAAUCGGAAUUACUGGGCGUAAAGCGCACGCAGGCGGUUUGUUAAGUCAGAUGUGAAAUCCCCGAGCUUAACUUGGGAACUGCAUUUGAAACUGGCAAGCUAGAGUCUUGUAGAGGGGGGUAGAAUUCCAGGUGUAGCGGUGAAAUGCGUAGAGAUCUGGAGGAAUACCGGUGGCGAAGGCGGCCCCCUGGACAAAGACUGACGCUCAGGUGCGAAAGCGUGGGGAGCAAACAGGAUUAGAUACCCCUGUAGUCCCUGUCUCUUAUAC
RNAcentral lists this ribosomal RNA (301 nucleotides) under uncultured bacterium. RNAcentral's name for it is "partial 16S ribosomal RNA". It matches the Rfam family "Bacterial small subunit ribosomal RNA", at positions 509 to 807 of the family's 1533-position model. The record is from RNAcentral.